Molecule: ribosomal RNA, 737 nt
Filed under: Bacillus sp. NOB14
Lineage: Bacteria; Bacillati; Bacillota; Bacilli; Caryophanales; Bacillaceae
Description: bacterial SSU rRNA
Rfam family: Bacterial small subunit ribosomal RNA
Source: RNAcentral
UGCGGUCGAGCGAACUGAUUAGAAGCUUGCUUCUAUGACGUUAGCGGCGGACGGGUGAGUAACACGUGGGCAACCUGCCUGUAAGACUGGGAUAACUUCGGGAAACCGAAGCUAAUACCGGAUAGGAUCUUCUCCUUCAUGGGAGAUGAUUGAAAGAUGGUUUCGGCUAUCACUUACAGAUGGGCCCGCGGUGCAUUAGCUAGUUGGUGAGGUAACGGCUCACCAAGGCAACGAUGCAUAGCCGACCUGAGAGGGUGAUCGGCCACACUGGGACUGAGACACGGCCCARACUCCUACGGGAGGCAGCAGUAGGGAAUCUUCCGCAAUGGACGAAAGUCUGACGGAGCAACGCCGCGUGAGUGAUGAAGGCUUUCGGGUCGUAAAACUCUGUUGUUAGGGAAGAACAAGUACGAGAGUAACUGCUUGUACCUUGACGGUACCUAACCAGAAAGCCACGGCUAACUACGUGCCAGCAGCCGCGGUAAUACGUAGGUGGCAAGCGUUAUCCGGAAUUAUUGGGCGUAAAGCGCGCGCAGGCGGUUUCUUAAGUCUGAUGUGAAAGCCCACGGCUCAACCGUGGAGGGUCAUUGGAAACUGGGGAACUUGAGUGCAGAAGAGAAAAGCGGAAUUUCCACGUGUAGCGGUGAAAUGCGAGAGAUGUGAGACACAGUGGCGAAGCGCUUUUUGUCUGUACUGACGCUGAGCGCGAAGCGUGGGGAGCAAACAGAUAGAUACCU